This is a non-coding RNA of Arvicanthis niloticus (Nile rat), 1038 nucleotides long. The record is from RefSeq and is a predicted model, not a curated record. Lineage: Eukaryota; Metazoa; Chordata; Mammalia; Rodentia; Muridae.
AUUCCAGCGCAGCAUCGCGCCGCUGCCCCGCGCGGGAUGCGGCGGCCCGCGCUUUGCCCGCGGGCUGGUCCGGCUCAGCCGCGCCACCGCGGGACCCGCGCUCGACCCGCAGGGGUGCGGCGCGUGCGGGGCCCGCGGGGAUGGGAGGGGCUUCCCGACCGUAGCGCCACGCGCGGGACAGCCGGGCAGUCGUGACACAGGCUCACUCGCCCAGUCGGGGGACACGGGACACUGUAAGGCACUUUCCCGGGUGUCUAAGAGCAACCGCUGCGUGUGCACAGCCGAGUCCCUGAAACUGGGACCCCCGUGGGCUCCCGCGUUCGGGCUCAGACCCCAAGGCAUUUACUGAAGUACUGUUAUGCAGAAGGCAAUACGCUAAGGUCUCCAAAAGAGGUAUAUAUAAAAAAAAGAGUUUCCAGGUUGAAAAAGAUCAGGCUUGCUAUUCUGAGAUCCUGGGUGAGGCAAAUACUUAGUGAACUUUUGCAGGUCAAGGCCAAGCUCAUCCAGCCGGAGAGCAAUCUGCCAUGCCAAGUUGAAAGUCUUGCCUCAACAUGUGAUUCAGUCUCAGCUGACAUCAUUCUGCCAGAUAGUGGAGUCUGAGGAAGCAGCAAGAAGCCAUCAGCACACCACCAGAAGUGUUUUGGUGUGUUUCUCUAUGGAAUCCUGACAAAUGGAGCUCAACUAUGCAAUGUGGACAAUUACAUGCAUCUUUGUAGCGAAGAAUCCUUUGUUAUGUGUCUUUUCAUGUUCUUGCUUUAGAGAAAAUUCUUUCACCUGUGUCUGCUUCAGUGAAAUGUUCCUUCACAUGUCUGCUUCAGUAAAACAUCGUUCCACUUGUGUCCAUUGAGGAAAACACUCCUUCACAUGUUUGUCCCAGAAAAACACCAUCCAACACAGCUGAUUUUCCAAAGAACCCUUAAGUUUCCACUUCACUUUAUUUUUCUAACUGAAAGAAAAUAAUGUCAUAAAGUUGAAUAUCUGUUCAAGAGAACAAGUCUUUAGAAUCCUUUUUAUAAAAAUAAGAUGUAUCCAAAAUAC